CUCGGGCAGGAGGGGCAGCAACUGCUCCAGAGCCCUUCGGCUUGCUGGGAUGGAUCUGGACACAGCUCCUGGGCAGGGGAACUGAGGCACGGCUGGACAGGGGGAACUGAGGCACGGCUGGACAGGGGGAACUGAGGCACGGCUGGACAGGGGGAACUGAGGCACGGCUGGACAGAUCAGUCGGAGACCGGCUGCACUCCGAGGUUUCACGGCCAGCGCAGCCCGGAGAAUUAUUACCACCCUCUGUUUUAUCCAAACAAUGAUCUUUAAGGGAGGAAAAAAAAAAAGAAGGGACUGUUCUAAAAGUGCUUUGUUUAUGCGGCUCCAUUAAGUUUGGAAUAACAGAGAUGGUAUCGCGUAAUCGAGGCAGUCACUCUAAAGCACGAAUCCACCGGGGCCGAUGAUGGCUCGGAGAGCCCCAGUGAAUCAGCUGUUAACUGCUGCCGGUCCGCGGGAUGCUCCUGCAUCCGCCACAGCCGGGCCAGCAGCCUCUGCCCAGCCGCGCUCGCCUCCGCCCCGCGGCGAGCUGAGGUUGUCCCCAGUCUCACGGACACGUCCGUUCUUUGACUAAUCCCGCAUUCACCAGUAGAUUCCAGGCUGGCAUUUGCUGUUUGUUCUUCCCAGGCAAUGCGCUGCAGGGCCCGGGGGAGGAUGGAUGGAGGAUGGAGGAUGGAUGGAUGGAUGGAUGGAUGCAUGGAUGGAUGGAUGGAUGGAUGGAUGGGGAAUCGCUGACUGCCGGAGCCGCACACCCCGAGCCAGGGAAUCACCGCGGAUCCACGGAGCUCAGACACUGCGGGCUCCAGAAUCCCCAUUAAAAUUCCGUGUUUCUGCUUCCACAGGACAGCAGCGGGGCUUGUGCGACCUGUCCCGGGGAGGAGCAGCUCCAGCAGCCGGGGGUGACCUGCUCGGGCAGGCGCCCAGGAGUUAACAGGAGGCUCUGGAAUCGCGGUGAUCCCCUGGAGAUCUCAUUUCGGGACUGUUUAUGCAAGAGUCAUCUGUUACAAGGUUAUUAAGAAGCGAAUGUGGGAGUGCACAAAUUAGGCAGGAUUGGCUGUUGUCCUUGGAAAUUAGGGAUCAUUUGAAUACACUCAGGCAUUGGGAAAGAGCCUGGAGGCAGUUCCAGAGGUUUUGAAGGAACCUUUCCGAUUUAGCAGCAGGAGAAGCAGCUGCUGGGGGAAGGUGCCAGUGCAUCCCGGGGCACAGAGUCAACAGAGGCAGUUUUUAAUGCAGCCUGCCAGCAGCCUCUCCCCGUGGGUGCUGGUUGUGGCUGGGCUGGGGUCAGUUUUCCUCGCAGAGGUCAGUGUUUGGGCUUUGGAUUGGGACAGAGUGUCCUUUUCCUCUGGAGCUGGUUCUUAGCUGCUGGCUGGGGCUGAGCCGUGCCACCGAGCUGUCCUGCACCACGGCAGCACCAACCUCAGCAUGGACCCUGCUUUGGGCACAUUGUGUGGAGAGGGAUGGACAUCUUUUGGGACUUGGAGCUCUGCAUUUGUCCUGAGUACUGCCCAGGUCUUGUAAUGUGCUGGGAACAGGUGGAAUAAAUGUGUUUGUGCCAGACGAGCA
RNAcentral lists this long non-coding RNA (1560 nucleotides) under Parus major (Great Tit). RNAcentral describes it as "lncRNA (ENSPMJG00000005957.1)". Lineage: Eukaryota; Metazoa; Chordata; Aves; Passeriformes; Paridae. The record is from RNAcentral.